AUGAACGCUAGCUACAGGCUUAACACAUGCAAGUCGAGGGGAAACGGCAUCGAAAGCUUGCUUUUGAUGGGCGUCGACCGGCGCACGGGUGAGUAACGCGUAUCCAACCUGCCCAUCACUUGGGAAUAACCUUGCGAAAGUAAGACUAAUGCCCAAUGACAUCCCACGAAGGCAUCCGAAUGGGAUUAAAGAUUUAUCGGUGAUGGAUGGGGAUGCGUCUGAUUAGCUUGUUGGCGGGGUGACGGCCCACCAAGGCAACGAUCAGUAGGGGUUCUGAGAGGAAGGUCCCCCACAUUGGAACUGAGACACGGUCCAAACUCCUACGGGAGGCAGCAGUGAGGAAUAUUGGUCAAUGGGCGAGAGCCUGAACCAGCCAAGUAGCGUGCAGGAUGACGGCCCUAUGGGUUGUAAACUGCUUUUAUAAGGGAAUAAAGUGGGUCACGUGUGACUUUUUGCAUGUACCUUAUGAAUAAGAACCGGCUAAUUCCGUG
Molecule: ribosomal RNA, 491 nt
Filed under: uncultured bacterium
Lineage: Bacteria
Description: partial 16S ribosomal RNA
Rfam family: Bacterial small subunit ribosomal RNA
Source: RNAcentral